CCUACGGGUGGCUGCAGUGGGGAAUAUUGGACAAUGGGGGCAACCCUGAUCCAGCCAUGCCGCGUGUGUGAAGAAGGCCCUCGGGGUGUAAAGCACUUUCAGUGAGGAAGAACGCCUGGUGGUUAAUACCCAUCAGGAAAGACAUCACUCACAGAAGAAGCACCGGCUAACUCCGUGCCAGCAGCCGCGGUAAUACGGAGGGUGCGAGCGUUAAUCGGAAUUACUGGGCGUAAAGCGCGCGUAGGUGGCUUGAUAAGCCGGUUGUGAAAGCCCCGGGCUCAACCUGGGAACGGCAUCCGGAACUGUCAAGCUAGAGUGCAGGAGAGGAAGGUAGAAUUCCCGGUGUAGCGGUGAAAUGCGUAGAGAUCGGGAGGAAUACCAGUGGCGAAGGCGGCCUUCUGGACUGACACUGACACUGAGGUGCGAAAGCGUGGGUAGCAAACAGGAUUAGAUACCCCUGUAGUC
This 465-nucleotide ribosomal RNA is filed under the name Vreelandella stevensii. Its description in RNAcentral is "partial 16S ribosomal RNA". It matches the Rfam family "Bacterial small subunit ribosomal RNA", at positions 338 to 795 of the family's 1533-position model. Lineage: Bacteria; Pseudomonadati; Pseudomonadota; Gammaproteobacteria; Oceanospirillales; Halomonadaceae. The record is from RNAcentral.